AAAUAUAUAUAUUAUACAUACACAUAAGAUAUGAGGUAAAGAAAUUCAGUAAGUACAUCAAAAACAAUUAAAAUCAAGACUGAGUGCUUAAGUACCUGUGAUUUGUAGCUCCUUGAGACGCUUAAAUAUCAACUAUAAGAAGGCCAAACUAACUAGUUAUGUCCCCUUUUCCUCAUCAUAAAUGUGGAGCACAACUUGUUAACUCCUGCUCCAAAUGUACCUUGUAUAAGAUCCCCAUGAGCAAAUGGCUUCUCAACUCCAUUGCUUAACAAAGGUUUCACCUGAAUUUCAGGACUUUGAGAACAAGAAAAAAUUGGAGGGCAGCGACAAAGAAAUUGGACAUUUUUUUUCUAUCUUUUAAAGCUUGAUAACCAUCUUUUGGCUCCUAGACCAAUCAAUAAAAAUGAAUACUUUAUACAAAACAUGGAUAUCCCUAUAGCUCUAGCCUGAAGUUGUUAGGGUGGGUACAGUGUGGGGAACAUGCACUGCUUCACUACUUGCAGCUUUUUUUGCAGCAAUCUCUUCUAAGCACUUCCACGUGGCUUCAUGUUUCGCUUUCAGAUCAUCUGCCUUUGCUUCCUCUUCUUCAAACUGCUUUAAGCACUCUUCAAACAGCUCAGGAUCAAUAUCAGCAAAGAUCUUGCGAACAUUAACAGUUAAGCUCUGGACCAACUGAUUCCAAUGGUUACGUCCAUUCUUUUCCAAGGCAGGGAAGAUUAUGGGCAGUAUAAUUUUUCGGUUGUGUCUGAUUAAAUUCUCAAUAUGAUCAUUGUUCCACAAGUACAAAGCCCUUUCUGCCACCUGGAAGUGUGAACUGCUCAAGCAACGAGCUAUCUGAUGGAACAGGGGUACCAUACAUCUUUGAAAUUCUGCUGGCUGGGUCGCUUCUAAGAUUUCCUCCAGCUCACUUAGGAACAUCACCUCCUUGGAACUAUUAGUGAUAGGCCAGUACUUCAAUAAACCCCUUAUAACAGUGUCUGCAAGCUUGCAGUCUUUUUCCACAAACUGUGUAAU
Molecule: unclassified non-coding RNA, 1014 nt
Filed under: Hevea brasiliensis (rubber tree)
Lineage: Eukaryota; Viridiplantae; Streptophyta; Magnoliopsida; Malpighiales; Euphorbiaceae
Source: RNAcentral